Molecule: small RNA, 194 nt
Filed under: Fictibacillus macauensis ZFHKF-1
Lineage: Bacteria; Bacillati; Bacillota; Bacilli; Caryophanales; Fictibacillaceae
Description: SR1 sRNA
Rfam family: SR1 sRNA
Source: Rfam by way of RNAcentral
AACAAGAUAAAUAAAGCGCUUACAUGAAAAGGGGCUGUUAUAUAAUGGGAGAAAUUAUUUGCCAAACAUGUGAUUGCACGAUCGAACACUUUGAAGAUGAAAAAGUAACAAAGCUUUAUACAGAUCAAUGCCCGAAUUGCGGGAAGUAAUAUAUGAAGAGAAGCAGUGACCAAAGGGUCACUGCUUCUUUUUUC